UAAAUAUGAUGAGUUUCAGUUAGAUAAUAAGACGGUUGUAAUUGUGCGGUAAAUUCACCAAAAUCAAAGCUGCGCUCUCACCAUCCCUGUUUGGGAUGGUGAGCUCUAGUUUGUUUGUCUCGAAAGUCUGGUUCAUUUCGGGAGGUACAAAAGUACAGUCGAACUCCAAAAAUAUAAAACUCUUGUCUGCCUACAAACCCAGGUCUCGGUUCAGCUGAAGUGAAUGUGAAUGUCAAGAGGACCGGAGACACAUCCAAGAGCAAGAAGUGAACUACCGCGCAGGGCAUUCUGGCAACAGCAGAGCAGAGUCGGAAGAAAGGCACCAGAGGAUUGUCAACAUGUUAAUACCCCUGGCAGGAAGGUUUGGACUGAAUGGAGCUGCUUCAGUCGGCUGUCCGGUCCGACUCUCAAACUCUGCAGUUCAGUUUGAUUGGCUUGUGGGUUAAAUGCCUCAUCUGCUUAGCGCGUCACGCUGCCAUAGGCAGCCUGAGACCUGCUGACUCGUGGAAAGCCAUUCCAGCAUUUCAUCAAAACAAAAGUAUCAACUAUUAAGAGUCUCAUUAAAACCAACUGAUAUGAAAA
Long non-coding RNA from Poecilia reticulata (guppy), 582 nucleotides. RefSeq lists it as uncharacterized. The record is from RefSeq and is a predicted model, not a curated record. Lineage: Eukaryota; Metazoa; Chordata; Actinopteri; Cyprinodontiformes; Poeciliidae.